AUUGAACGCUGGCGGCAUGCCUUACACAUGCAAGUCGAACGGCAGCACGGACUUCGGUCUGGUGGCGAGUGGCGAACGGGUGAGUAAUGUAUCGGAACGUACCUUUCAGUGGGGGAUAACGUAGCGAAAGUUACGCUAAUACCGCAUAUUCUGUGAGCAGGAAAGCAUGGGAUCGAAAGACCUUGCGCUGAUUGAGCGGCCGAUAUCAGAUUAGCUAGUUGGUGGGGUAAAGGCCUACCAAGGCGACGAUCUGUAGCGGGUCUGAGAGGAUGAUCCGCCACACUGGAACUGAGACACGGUCCAGACUCCUACGGGAGGCAGCAGUGGGGAAUUUUGGACAAUGGGGGCAACCCUGAUCCAGCCAUGCCGCGUGAGUGAAGAAGGCCUUCGGGUUGUAAAGCUCUUUCGGCCGGGAAGAAAUCGCAUAGGCUAAUACCCUGUGUGGAUGACGGUACCGGAAGAAGAAGCACCGGCUAACUACGUG
Molecule: ribosomal RNA, 484 nt
Filed under: uncultured bacterium
Lineage: Bacteria
Description: partial 16S ribosomal RNA
Rfam family: Bacterial small subunit ribosomal RNA
Source: RNAcentral